UCCCCUUCUUCGUUUUCCUCUCUAUCUCUCGCCCCCUCUCUCUUCUCUCUCUUAUCCUCGUGGUAUCUUGUCGUAUUUCUGAUCGGUACCGGCGAGGUGGUGGAGUAUUGUAUGUUUGCUACGAUGGAACUUGGGGGUAAGCUGGGUUUUCGCUCUGUUCUUUUCCCUUCGCGGGGAUGAAGAUGACGGAUGACGGCCGUCUCUCGGCCACAUGCAUGUUAUUUUUAUUCGUGUUCGUGGGUCGGUUUAUUCGGUAGAUCCGAUCUCAUGGGUUGUAGCUGGUUGCUAUCUCGUUUUCUCGCCAUCUCGUUUUCUUCCAUUGUUCCUGUUUUCGACCAAUGUGUUCCUGUAAUAGUCAUCUGCACGAGCUUUGACGCCCUUCCGCAUGCGUGGAGGGGCGGGAGCAGUGGAAGGGUGACGUUAACGAGAUGGCGGGCUUUGAGUUAGGAAACCCAGUAUGACGUGUAAGCUAAUUUAAUUUAGGAUACGCUGAGGCAUACGUUCGCAGAGGAUGCACGAGUUGAAUUGAAGGAGCAGCGAAGAUAGAUAGUGUAGUGGAUCUCUACGUACGACAAGCCUUUAAAGUUAUUAUCGUUAAGACAACUAGUUCCCUGUUGAUCAUUUCUUGGUUGGUGUUCUUUGAUAGUUUCUAAUCCUUGCAGUUCUGGAUAUUUCAUAUGGUUGGGUGGUGCUACCUGCCUGCCAGCUUUUCAACUUUCGAGUUGCAGGGAAGAAAGAUUAUUAUGAUUAUUCAUGGUUCUGGAGUUAUAGUCAAAUGAGCAGAUGAUGGAUAUGUUUUUUGUUUGAGGCAUCACCUAUACAAACAUGCUUCAAUCUUGCUUUUGCUCCAUUGUUCUGUUCUUAAAAUUUCAAACUCCUUUUUUUUAAAGCAUUAUUUUAUGUUAUUAUAUACUACCAGUACUGAACUUUGUUUGGUCAAUGUUAUGAUUCUUGAUGUUUUAUCAGUUUUCUGCUCCAUGGAUUAUUUAUAUUGGAAGAGAAAAAAAGAGAACAUAGAACAAAUACAUAUAUAAACACAAUAAAAGAGGCUUAUCCAUGCAAGCUAUUCAGCUAGGCCUUACAUGUUCCACUUAUGCAUUAUUUCAUAUUUAAGGUCAAGUUCUCUGAAAUCAAAGAAUCUAUAAAUCGGUACCCAGUAAUUCCAUCUAAUUCUUCUUUAUCACCCCUCCUUUCAGGCCUUCUUUGGGUAACAUGCAUGACUUUCCACCAUGUUUAGCGAUUUUGCUCACUUCAUCUGCCAUUUACAUCACAUAAAGAGCAUUUUUCUCUUCUUAUUGACAACUUCAUUCUUCCUAGUCUCAUUGCAUGCCCACUCUAACAUCCUCGUCUCCCCAUACUUCAAAAAACAGCUAUGGGAAUGCGAAAUGUACACCAUUUAACUAAAUGGUGUGUGAGAUUUGAUUUUAAUCACCCAAACAAUUUUUAGAUGCUCCAGCUCUUUUAUAUCUUUGCUUUUCCCAUUGUUGGAUCUGAACUAUUGGUCCAGCCACUCUGUGUCAAGCUUCAUGGUACUGCAGGGAAGCUCUUAAAUAAAUUAGAAAGGUUGGGCUAGUGCAGCAAUUUGUGAAUCAUUAGAGUUACCUAAUCCUGAAUUGAGGUACCAAACUCUGUGAACAAUUUCUUUGUAUACAGUUUAACAAUUUUGAUGGCUUUUCUUAUGUCACCUUUCAUCUCUGUAGUGAGGAAGAUAUACUUAUGAACAUCUAGAUGCUCAAUACUUUUAUAUAUUUGGGGCUCAAAACUAUUAUGACUUUGAAAUCUCAAACCAGUACAUAAUAUCAAUAAGGACUCAGAGGUGUUAGAUUAGUACAUCAUAAUGUGUUGUGCAUCUUCCAAUUUUUGACUUAUAAAUCUUCUUUUUGUGUUUUCUCCAUGUUGGUGACCGGACUUUGUUACAUUUACAUAUAUUUUUGUUUAUGCCUAGAUGAGGAUAUUAUUUAUGUCCAAUUAAUACAGUAUAUACGGUAUUUAAUCCAUUUCUAUGUCUCAGAACUGUAAAAUUGCAUAUAAUGUAUUUGCAUCUAAUAUCUCUAGUCCCUUAUCCUCAAGCUUUUCUUGUUACUCCCAAAUUUUCUUUCUACAUGUGUUUUUGUGUAUAGGGGUGGCAAUGGGCUGGGUCUGAUUGGUUUUAGGUUUGCUCAGAAAGAAACCCCCAACCCAUAUCUGAACCAUUUAUAACUGGGAUGAAAUUAAUAGAAUCAUACCCUACAGAUUUUGUUUUAUAUAUUCCCAUGCUCAACGUGUCAACCCACCAAUGAGGAUUUCACUUGACAUUAUUGGGGAAUGAAAAUGAUACGGCCAAGAACAGGGGAUUUAAGUUGGGCAUCCAUAUAUAUAUAUAUAUAUAUAUAUAGAGAGAGAGAGAGAGAGAGAGAGAGAGAGAGGAAAUUGAAGUGGAGAGCAAGUGAUAAACCCUAAACCCUGUCAACUCUACAUAUUCUUUAGUAUUUUUUGUUCAUUCUCUGAACCAUGAAUUGCCAGGCAUUACUAAACAGUUGAACCAAGCCUUGACUAGCCCUUGGCCCGCUAACAAUGCUACUAUCACAGGGUCAUAGGGCUGAGUUUUGAGGGUUUGUUCAACCUAUGGUGACUUGUUGGAUCUUGGUUCCAAACUGAUUUUCAACCCACUUAUAACCAGGUAGUCUUAAGUGACCCAAACUUUGCUCAAUUUUUUUUUAAAAAUAUAUAUACAAAUCCAUUUAAUUUGACAAACUCUGGUGGGUUGGUGGGUUCGGUUCAUAAAUUGCCAUUCCUUGGUUAUGUUUUUGUGUACAAUGAGGAGCCUUUUUGUGACUAGGGGUUGUGGUAUUGUGCCUUGGUAUGGUGCCAAUGGUUGGCACCAAGGUUGGGUGGCACACUCUGGUACUGCAGCAUGCUAACCAAUGGAUGCAGCUAGGGCCGCACCUUAGUGAAUGUGUUGAUUUGGAAUCAAGGAUUCAAGUGUUUGGUGCAUGCAAGUUAUUGUUGCUACCAGUGUAUCUGCUGAGUGCUCCUUUUAACUUAGUGGCCACCAUAUUCCUUCCAUAAUAUCCUAUCUUUUGUCCUGUCUAAGUUGAAAGAACUGUGUUUAAGUCCUGUCACCUCUUGAAUUCUUCAGUUUGCUUGCUGAAUUUGAUGGUUGACCCUUGAUAUUUGUUCAUGAUAUGAAAUAUUUUCAUGGCCUUGCUUGUUGUUUUAGCAGUCUAAUCUCCUAAAGAAAUGAGGCUUCACUAUUGCAGUUUAUCCUUUUCUUGUUGUCAAGUGCCGAUGUAAAUGGACAAAUUUCUUCCCAUCCAUGGACCACCAAGUAAAAUCUCAUACAUGUUAGCAAACAUAUGUAGGGUCAAACCUUGAUUGUACCUUGGUAUUCUAUCUAACUAAGCAUUCAAUGCUAAUACUGUAUUAUGUUGAGUUAUCUUUCACUGAGAUGGCAUUGUAUUUUUUUGUUAAUGGAGAAUGAGACUUUAAUCUUCUAUUUCUUUAGUUGAAAACAUGAGUGAUUGUUGACUUGUCUCAACUUUUUUUUUGUGAUUGUGUGUUGUUUUUUCUGCUUCACUUACCCACAUCUAUGCUUAAGUAAAUUUUCUUUUCACUGUUCUAUAGGAUGUUCUAGUUCUGAACAAACUUAUUGUAUGGAAGUCACAGCUAGAGCUUGUAUAAAAGCUAAUUUGUGUCUAUGCAUCAUAUAGUUAACGUGCUUGUGCUGUGGAGAAAUUCUUGGUGUUAUAAGCUGACUCUUGCAUAUCAUCUAAUGAAAGCUUGAGCUAUAUUGAGUCGCUGAAGCUUAAAGAGGCACUGAUUAUUUUUCAUCUAUUUUGGUUAUCUGAAUUAUAUGGAAUUCAUUUGCAAGCUAUGAAUUUCUUUGGUAUGUUAUGAAACUUAUUGAUCUGCAUAAAUUUUAUUAUUCACCUAUUCAUGUCUGCAAAAUGUUUUUAUGGUUGUAUUUCAUUCUGAAUUAAUUUUUUACCCUC
This is a non-coding RNA of Phoenix dactylifera (date palm), 3971 nucleotides long. Lineage: Eukaryota; Viridiplantae; Streptophyta; Magnoliopsida; Arecales; Arecaceae. The record is from RefSeq and is a predicted model, not a curated record.